CGUGUAGGCGGGAAAGAAAGUCAGAAGUGAAAUCCCACGGCUUAACUGUGGAGCUGCUUCUGAAACUUCUUUUUCUUGAGUGUCGGAGAGGAAAGUGGAAUUCCAAGUGUAGCGGUGAAAUGCGUAGAGAUUUGGAGGAACACCAGUGGCGAAGGCGGCUUUCUGGACGAUAACUGACGCUGAGGCGCGAAAGCGUGGGGAGCAAACAGGAUUAGAUACCCUGGUAGUCCACGCUGUAAACGAUGGAUACUAGGUGUAGGAGGUAUCGACCCCUUCUGUGCCGCAGUUAACACAAUAAGUAUCCCACCGUGGGGAGUACGGCCGCAAGGUUGAA
This 334-nucleotide ribosomal RNA is filed under the name uncultured bacterium. Its description in RNAcentral is "bacterial SSU rRNA". It matches the Rfam family "Bacterial small subunit ribosomal RNA", at positions 568 to 898 of the family's 1533-position model. The record is from RNAcentral.